RNAcentral lists this long non-coding RNA (1779 nucleotides) under Aotus nancymaae (Ma's night monkey). RNAcentral's name for it is "lncRNA (ENSANAG00000039207.1)". Lineage: Eukaryota; Metazoa; Chordata; Mammalia; Primates; Aotidae. The record is from RNAcentral.
GUGGAUCACCUGAGGUCAGGAGUUCGAGACCAGCCUGGCCAACAUGGUGAAAGUCUCUCUCUACUUAAAAAAUACAAAGUUAGCCAGGCUUGGUGGCACAUACCUGUAAUCCCAGCUAGUCGGGAGGCUGAGGCAAGAGAACUGAUUGAACCUGGGAGGCAGAGUUGCAGUGAGCCGAGAUCGGACCAUUGCACUCCAGCUUGGGCAACAAGAGCAAAACUCCAUCUCAAAAACAGAAAACAAAACAAAACAAAAAACCUAUCAAACUCCAGGAGUAUUAGGAAGAGUAAUCUGAGAUUCUGUCCCCGGUCUGAGGACCCAGGGAGCAUCUAGGAAUGGAGAAGCCAUUCUCUUUUCUGCUUCCCAAACAGGACAGGAAGUCAGUAAGUAGGAUGUGAGGACUNNNNNNNNNNNNNNNNNNNNNNNNNGUGAGGACUCCUGCCCACAAUGUUCCCAUAUGAUUAGCCUAAUUCCUUAUCUUCUCUUCUAUUUUCCAGAUAAACACGAUGAACUUGAAGCUCCCUCAAUGAAAACAGACACCAGAGCCAUCUUUGUCAGCAUCUUCAGCUGCAUCUCCAUCCUUCUCCUCUUCCUCGUCGUCAUUGUCAUCUACAGAUGCAGCCAGAACGGUUCAUCACCUGAAGAAUCCACCAACAGGUACAUGCUUGGCAUAGCUUAUGCUCCACCCAAUUCCCAUGUCAUUCUCCAGGGAACCCACUGGCACAUCCAGGAUUGGCGCCCUAAGCCCCUACUCCUGCCCAUUCUGUGACCUCCUGUCCCCUCCAUAGCCCUCACCCUCUCCCCACAAUCUUCACAGCCCAUCCUUUCACGUGUUUCUCUCGCCUAGAACCAGUCAUUCCAAACUUCCAGAACGAGAGGCUGCUGGUAAGGGAUAGGGGAAGUCAAGGGAAUAACUAGACAGAAAGACUAAGUUCUGGCCGGGCGCGGUGGCUCACGUCUGUAACUCCAACACUUUGGGAGGCUGAGGUGGGUGGAUCACGUGAGGUUGGGAGUUCAAGACCAGCGUGGCCAACAUGGAGAAACCCCAUCUCUACUGAAAAUACAAAAUUAGCUGGGCAUGGUGGUGCAUGCUUGUAAUCCCAGCUACUCGGGAGGCUGAGGCAGGAGAAUCACUUGAACGCAGGAGGCAGAGGUUGCAGUGAGCCAAGAUCGCGCCAUUGCACUACAGCCUGGGCAACAAGAGUGAAACUCCGUCUCAAAAAANNNNNNNNNNNNNNNNNNNNNNNNNCAGGCUGAUUCCCUGACCUGCUCUUCCUCUCUAGACACCAGAGCCAUCUUUGUCAGCAUCUUCAGCUGCAUCUCCAUCCUUCUCCUCUUCCUCGUAGUCAUCGUCAUCUACAGAUGCAGCCAGAACGGUGAGCUCAGAGAAUGCAAAGGGAGAGAGGGAGGGUGAAGCAUUUUCUCAGUAGGUAAAUUCCUCCUGCAUUUUUUGUAGGUUCAUCACCUGAAGAAUCCACCAAGAGGUACAUGCUUGGCAUAGCUUAUGCUCCACCCAAUUCCCAUGUCAUUCUCCAGGGAACCCACUGGCACAUCCAGGAUUGGUGCCCUAAGCCCCUACUCCUGCCCAUUCUGUGACCUCCUGUCCCCUGCAUAGCCCUCACCCUCUCCCCACAAUCUUCACAGCCCAUCCUUUCACGUGUUUCUCUCGCUUAGAACCAGUCAUUCCAAACUUCCAGAACGAGAGGCUGCUGGUAAGGGAUAGGGGAAGUCAAGGGGAUAACUAGACAGAAAGACUAAGUUCUGGCCGGGCGUGGUGGC